Molecule: long non-coding RNA, 1551 nt
Organism: Athene cunicularia (burrowing owl)
Lineage: Eukaryota; Metazoa; Chordata; Aves; Strigiformes; Strigidae
Exons: 2
Source: RefSeq, a predicted model, not a curated record
AAAAAAAAUAAAAAAAAAAUCACAACAUCAUAUAAAAGAUAUGUUAUAAAGCCAUACAGAAGGCUAUUAAUAUAUACAGGACAGCCAUGACAACUUGGUAAACCAGACAGUUAAGUACAGUUGGCAACUAAUUUUACCCUUCAUGACUGAAGAGGACAAAUGCCCAGCUCUGCAUCUUCACUUGCUACCUAGCAGUCUAGCAAGCAGAGCCACAUGUGUGACUCGGUGCUCUAACACCUGUCUGCUGCUUGUACGCUCAAUUCCCUGCACAGCUUCUCACUUCACAGAUCACCUUGAGAGAUAUGCGAAGUUCCUCCCUGGAUUAUUCAGGACCACUGGCCUCAAGAAACAAAGCUAAAUACCACUUAAACCAAUUUUAAUGUUAUACUGUCAAGAUGGAGACAACAAAUGACAGAGAGGAAGCCUGUGUUCCACAGCAAGAGAAGACAUCUGCUAGCAAGUCUGCAGGAAUGCAGCCUCAAAAACAAACACCUGACAUUUUGCAUUGUAGGUGCUGGCAAACAAGUUACUCAGAAGUGUCCCCCUUUGCAAAUAUUUUGAGGCUGGUCACUGAUUCACUGCCCAAGAGGCUGAAUAAGACCUGUAAAUCUUAAAAUUAUUUUUUUCAAUUAAAACUAAUGCUAGACAGCAAUGAUUUAUAAACAAAGAGCCAAGUAACAAUAAGCUCUUGUGUUGCCUUACACCCGCACGUUUACCUUUUGUCUGUAAAGAUCUGGAGAACAAGUUGUAAAGUUACGGUCAGCGAUAUGGCAACUCCAACCUUCACACUUACAUGCAACCCCAUUUUGUUUGGGACCAAGUCUCAACAGUAGUCUCAUGAUGAGAGUCCCUAUUUAUAAACAAAACUGUUGUCACUCAUGCAUUUUCUUGCAAUGAGUGUUUUGAAAAACACUGCAGAUAGCUAAAGUGUCGUUCCCAUGACAGUUUCUGCUUGUCAUUUUGUACACUUAUACAGCAAGUAAAAAAAGUCUGGAGAAAAUCACAUCCUCUGAUAAGAUUCAAGGCUUGCAAAACUAUGCCAUGGUAACAACACUGCUUGGGGACUGUGCGAGUUGGGUGUUCUACAACAGCACUGCCAUUAGCUGAAGAAGUGACACCAAAAAAAGCCUAGUGGGAUUGAUCUAACAUGGUAAGCUGACUACUGACAAGGUUUUGCAGUUUAUUGCUAUUUACAGGAAACUGUACAAACAACACAAGAACAGAACAGGUAUCUCCAGUGUCCUCAAGUGUCAAUAGAAACAAAGCAUUGUUGUUCAAGACAGUGGUUUGAGGCCAAUCUGCAGGAAUUAAGUGCAAGAUCCAGUGAAUUUCUAUGUAGUAGAGGGCAUUUAAGUUCCACUAAAAUCCUAACAUAUUUGGCCAACAGAUGAUGGGAACUGAGCUCCCAGACUGCACAAGAUCCAAGUGAGUUCUUCAACUCAUGCCUGGCACAUUGACAACUUUUGUUAUAGCUGAGCCAUCAGAGACGUACAGCAAUGGGGAUCAUUUCCAUUCCAUUCAUAAUUACCUCCAAAUCUCACUUGACAGUAC